CGCGGGGUGGAGCAGUUGGCAGCUCGUCGGGCUCAUAACCCGAAGGCCGCAGGUUCGAGUCCUGCCCCCGCAA
Molecule: transfer RNA, 73 nt
Filed under: Alicyclobacillus vulcanalis
Lineage: Bacteria; Bacillati; Bacillota; Bacilli; Caryophanales; Alicyclobacillaceae
Description: tRNA_Met_CAT
Rfam family: tRNA
About the family: Transfer RNA (tRNA) molecules are approximately 80 nucleotides in length. Their secondary structure includes four short double-helical elements and three loops (D, anti-codon, and T loops). Further hydrogen bonds mediate the characteristic L-shaped molecular structure. tRNAs have two regions of fundamental functional importance: the anti-codon, which is responsible for specific mRNA codon recognition, and the 3' end, to which the tRNAs corresponding amino acid is attached (by aminoacyl-tRNA synthetases). tRNAs cope with the degeneracy of the genetic code in two manners: having more than one tRNA (with a specific anti-codon) for a particular amino acid; and 'wobble' base-pairing, i.e. permitting non-standard base-pairing at the 3rd anti-codon position.
Source: RNAcentral